RNAcentral lists this ribosomal RNA (768 nucleotides) under uncultured organism. RNAcentral's name for it is "bacterial SSU rRNA". It matches the Rfam family "Bacterial small subunit ribosomal RNA", at positions 35 to 823 of the family's 1533-position model. The record is from RNAcentral.
GCUUGCGAUGUGCCUAAUGUAUGCAAGUCGAACGAUUCCUGUAUCUUCGGAUACAGGGAGUGGCAAACGGCUGAGUAACGCGUAGGAACCUACCCCAAACUCGAGUAUAGCCCCGCGAAAGCGGGGGUAAUCCUCGAUAGCCCGUGAAGUAUUUUACUUCACGGUAAAGCUUUUGCGGUUUGGGAUGGGCCUGCGUCCUAUCAGGUAGUUGGUGAGGUAAAUGCUCACCAAGCCUAUGACGGGUAGCUGGUCUGAGAGGAUGGUCAGCCAGACUGGGACUGCGACACGGCCCAGACUCCUACGGGAGGCAGCAACUAGGAAUUGUGCGCAAUGGACGAAAGUCUGACGCCGCGACAUCGCGUGGAGGAUGAAGGUCUUCGGAUUGUAAACUCCUUUUCUUACCGAACAAGUUCUGAGUGUAGGUAAGGAAUAAGUGCCUGCUAACCACGUGCCAGAAGCAUCGGUAAUACGUGGGGCACGAGCGUUAUCCGGAUUUACUGGGCGUAAAGAGGAGCGUACGCGGCUCGAUAAGUUUGGUGUUAAAUCUUCCGGCUCAACCGGAAACAAGCACCGAAAACUAUCGAGAUUGAGUCGAGUAGGGAAGAGGGGAAUUCCUGGUGGAGCGGUUAAAUGCGUAGAUAUCAGGAGGAAUACCAAGGGCGAAGGCACCUCUUUGGACUCGUACUGACGCUGAGGCUCGAAAGCGUGGGUAGCAAAACGGAUUAGAUACCCGUGUAGUCCACGCCGUAAACGAUCCCUGUUAGAUGU